This 567-nucleotide ribosomal RNA is filed under the name uncultured bacterium. RNAcentral describes it as "bacterial SSU rRNA". It matches the Rfam family "Bacterial small subunit ribosomal RNA", at positions 338 to 916 of the family's 1533-position model. The record is from RNAcentral.
CCUACGGGAGGCAGCAGUGGGGAAUAUUGCACAAUGGGCGAAAGCCUGAUGCAGCGACGCCGCGUGAGGGAUGACGGCCUUCGGGUUGUAAACCUCUUUCAGCAGGGACGAAGCGCAAGUGACGGUACCUGCAGAAGAAGCACCGGCUAACUACGUGCCAGCAGCCGCGGUAAUACGUAGGGUGCAAGCGUUGUCCGGAAUUACUGGGCGUAAAGAGUUCGUAGGCGGUUUGUCGCGUCGUUUGUGAAAACCAGCAGCUCAACUGCUGGCUUGCAGGCGAUACGGGCAGACUUGAGUACUGCAGGGGAGACUGGAAUUCCUGGUGUAGCGGUGAAAUGCGCAGAUAUCAGGAGGAACACCGGUGGCGAAGGCGGGUCUCUGGGCAGUAACUGACGCUGAGGAACGAAAGCGUGGGUAGCGAACAGGAUUAGAUACCCUGGCAGUCCACGCCGUAAACGGUGGGCGCUAGGUGUGGGUUCCUUCCACGGAAUCCGUGCCGUAGCUAACGCAUUAAGCGCCCCGCCUGGGGAGUACGGCCGCAAGGCUAAAACUCAAAGGAAUUGACGG